Molecule: small RNA, 29 nt
Filed under: Bombyx mori (domestic silkworm)
Lineage: Eukaryota; Metazoa; Arthropoda; Insecta; Lepidoptera; Bombycidae
Description: ovarian small RNA-21251
Source: RNAcentral
UACUACAAAGCCACUCCGGUAUACCGGUA